GUGGAUUAGAUACCCUGGUAGUCCACGCCCUAAACGAUGUCUACUAGUUGUCGGGUCUUAAUUGACUUGGUAACGCAGCUAACGCGUGAAGUAGACCGCCUGGGGAGUACGGUCGCAAGAUUAAAACUCAAAGGAAUUGACGGGGACCCGCACAAGCGGUGGAUGAUGUGGAUUAAUUCGAUGCAACGCGAAAAACCUUACCUACCCUUGACAUGGCAGGAAUCCUGGAGAGAUCUGGGAGUGCUCGAAAGAGAACCUGCACACAGGUGCUGCACGGCCGUCGUCAACU
Molecule: ribosomal RNA, 289 nt
Filed under: uncultured bacterium
Lineage: Bacteria
Description: partial 16S ribosomal RNA
Rfam family: Bacterial small subunit ribosomal RNA
Source: RNAcentral